Molecule: unclassified non-coding RNA, 20 nt
Filed under: Chlamydomonas reinhardtii
Lineage: Eukaryota; Viridiplantae; Chlorophyta; Chlorophyceae; Chlamydomonadales; Chlamydomonadaceae
Description: small RNA Cre_3807
Source: RNAcentral
UUCCUAAACAUGAGAGUCGU